UUCACAGGGAUUAAAAUCAGAAAGAUGUGCGACUUAAUCUGAUUGAUUCUGCAAAACGAUUAGGUAUUAAAAUUAUUAGUUUUUUUUUGUUUGUUUGUAAUCUGAUCGUUUGUCAUCUUAUUGUGAAAUCUUCCAGUCUCUCAAUUUAUUGUGACACUCUUCGGUGAAACCCUUCUCCUUCAUCCUUCGUGAUUCAGCAAAUUCGAUCAUCUUUCUCAAAAGAAAAAUAUCACGUCCUGGAGUGGGUUUUUGGGAGACAACAGGGGAUAAAUAAACGGACGUCCAUUCUGUCCAAGUACCUCCUUUCUAUCGUAAUGUCAUGUUCUCAGCUAACAGCAUUCGAGCUACCAAAACGGUGGAGGUAAAGAUCCCGUCCUUCUAUGGAGCCUGAAAACGAGAUUGGUGUAAGCAGGAGUUGCCACAUUCAAGUUAAAGAAGACACUAAUCUAUCCACCAGUUGUUUCUACUAAAGCUUUUUUUUCAAUGGUUAUUUUUCAUAUUCAUGGUAGUUUUGAUGUUAUAUCCUACGAACAGUAGCAUCAUGUUCUUGACAAAAGUCGGUGAUGGACACGUCGCCUAUUUAGAAAACUAAAUGUCUUCGUAGACAGGAUGGUGGUGCGUCUACUUCAAAAAUGACUUCGACAGGCUGGUGCUGCAGCACAGGCAUAAGAAGAACGAGAACGGCUGCAAGUAAAAUUUGAAGAGGGAAGAAAGCUUCUUCAAAGCAACACUCUCAAGUCGGUUUUCGUGUAUAUUCUAAAAUGGAAUCUCCUAAGAUAAACGUUUGUAAGACAAGUGAUGAUGGUUAUAUAUGCAUCUCAGCAUACUGUUCUACUAAUUGUAAUGCGGAAAGGUUUAUAUUCUACCAUCGUGCUCCGUCCUAGGCUACUAUGGAUUCUUAUAUUGUGAUUUAUGUUCUUAGUUUGGGUU
Long non-coding RNA from Papaver somniferum (opium poppy), 930 nucleotides. RefSeq lists it as uncharacterized. The record is from RefSeq and is a predicted model, not a curated record. The transcript has 3 exons. Lineage: Eukaryota; Viridiplantae; Streptophyta; Magnoliopsida; Ranunculales; Papaveraceae.